Molecule: small nuclear RNA, 170 nt
Organism: Ahaetulla prasina
Lineage: Eukaryota; Metazoa; Chordata; Lepidosauria; Squamata; Colubridae
Product: U4 spliceosomal RNA
Exons: 1
Source: RefSeq, a predicted model, not a curated record
AGCUUUGCACAGUGGCAGUAUCGUAGCCAAUGAGGUUUAUCCGAGGCGCGAUUAUUGCUGAUUGAAAAUUUUUCCCAAUACCCCGCCUCGACGAUUUAAAAUAUAGUCGGCAAUAGAUUCUGAAAGGGAUUUAGUAAAGGAUUGUAUGAUAAAAUGGGCACAAAAUAUUC